Non-coding RNA from Nyctereutes procyonoides (raccoon dog), 584 nucleotides. The record is from the annotation of a RefSeq genome assembly. Lineage: Eukaryota; Metazoa; Chordata; Mammalia; Carnivora; Canidae.
CAGAUUGUCAUCACAGGCAGAUCUACCUAUCAGGGACCGGGGACCCUGAACCCCCAUCUUUCCACCCAGAGAUCAGCAUCUGGAACAGACAGAUGCCCCAUUCCUAUUGUGGCCCUGCCAUGGGUCCCGGGCUCCUCCACUGCGUGGCCUUCUGUCUCCUCGGAGCAGGUCACAUGGGUGCCAUGGUCAUCCAGAGCCCAAGAUACCAGGUUACUAAGGUGGGAAAACCAGUGACUCUGAACUGUUCUCAGAAUCUGAAUCAUGAUGCCAUGUACUGGUACCAACAGAAGCUGAGACAAGCACCAAAGCUGCUGCUCUACUACUAUGAUACAGAACUUACCAAAGAAACAGACACCUCCGAUAACUUCCAACCCAGCCGGCUCAGCAAUUCUCUCUGUUCUCUUAGCAUCCGCUCACCAGGCUUGGGGGACUCAGCAGUGUACCUCUGUGCCAGCAGUAAAGACACAGAGCUACAGUGUUAUGUCUCCCCUGUGCAUAAACUUCUGCAUUUCCCAGAUCCAAGAUCCUUCUCUAGACCAUCCCCCAGCUCUGAUGUUACAACAGUAGUAGAAACCCAACAAUAG